UGUCUUCCCACCUCCAUUGACACCCACAAUCAUGAUUACAGCUGGUUUCCUGAAGCCCAGACUGAGUUCUGUUUUAGGUGCUUUACUAGUCAAUAGAUCCAAGAUACUCUUCUUUAGAACACUUUUUAUCUCACUUCCUGAUUUGAUUUUCCCUGCAUAUAUAUCCUCCCGCAAGCUCUCCACAAUCUUUAUGGUAAUCUUCGGCCCAAAAUCAGCGACCAACAGAACCUCUUCAAGUUCAUCAAGAACACGAUCAGUAUCAGAAAGGUUCCAGUAAAGGAGGAGUUCAUCAAUAACAGCUAAAUUGUCUCGAGUUUUUGAGAAUCCUGAGAACAGUUUCUCCACAUCACUCUUGGCUUUCUCUUUCAGCAAACGACCAAGCUUCGUGAAGAACCCCGUUUGACCCGCCGAGCAUCUAAACCGGGACUGAUCGAACCGGGUUUUGGAUGUGAAGUGGAGGAGAGUUGAACCGGAGUUAGAAUGUGGGAAUACCGUUUUGGAAGGAAGACGUGGGAGACGAGAAGAUAACGUUGAAG
This 536-nucleotide unclassified non-coding RNA is filed under the name Hevea brasiliensis (rubber tree). The record is from RNAcentral. Lineage: Eukaryota; Viridiplantae; Streptophyta; Magnoliopsida; Malpighiales; Euphorbiaceae.